This 488-nucleotide ribosomal RNA is filed under the name uncultured bacterium. RNAcentral describes it as "bacterial SSU rRNA". It matches the Rfam family "Bacterial small subunit ribosomal RNA", at positions 26 to 521 of the family's 1533-position model. The record is from RNAcentral.
AGGACGAACGCUGGCGGCGUGCCUAACACAUGCAAGUCGAGCGAAGCAUAAAUAUUAGCUUGCUAAUAUUUAUGACUGAGCGGCGAACGGGUGAGUAACACGUGGGUGAUCUGCCUGAAAGUCUGGGAUAACAGUUCGAAAGGACUACUAAUACCGGAUGAAGUUAAUAGUGUAGAGCUAUUAAUCAAAGCGUUACGGAGCGCUUUCAGAUGAGCCCGCGUCCCAUUAGCUAGUUGGUGAGGUAAAGGCUCACCAAGGCGACGAUGGGUAGCCGGUCUGAGAGGAUGGUCGGCCACACUGGAACUGAGACACGGUCCAGACUCCUACGGGAGGCAGCAGUGGGGAAUUUUGCGCAAUGGGGGCAACCUUGACGCAGCGACGCCGCGUGAGCGAAGAAGGCCUUCGGGUUGUAAAGCUCUGUCUGGGGGGAAGAUAGUGACGGUACCCCCGGAGGAAGCCCCGGCUAACUACGUGCCAGCAGCCGCGGU